CCUACGGGAGGCAGCAGUGGGGGAUAUUGCACAAUGGGGGGAACCCUGAUGCAGCGACGCCGCGUGGGUGAAGGAGUGCUUCGGCAUGUAAAGCUCUAUCGGCAGGGAAGAAGCAAGACGGUACCUGACUAAGAAGCCCCGGCUAACUACGUGCCAGCAGCCGCGGUAAUACGUAGGGGGCGAGCGUUAUCCGGAUUCACUGGGUGUAAAGGGAGCGUAGACGGCCAUGCAAGCCAGGGGUGAAAGCCCGGGGCCCAACCCCGGGACUGCCCUUGGAACUGUGCGGCUAGAGUGCGGGAGGGGCAGGCGGAAUUCCUGGUGUAGCGGUGAAAUGCGUAGAUAUCAGGAGGAACACCGGCGGCGAAGGCGGCCUGCUGGACUGCGACUGACGUUGAGGCUCGAAAGCGUGGGGAGCGAACAGGAUUAGAUACCCCGGUAGUC
This 441-nucleotide ribosomal RNA is filed under the name uncultured bacterium. RNAcentral's name for it is "partial 16S ribosomal RNA". It matches the Rfam family "Bacterial small subunit ribosomal RNA", at positions 338 to 795 of the family's 1533-position model. The record is from RNAcentral.